GCGGUCGUGGCGGAAUUGGUAGACGCGCAGCACUAAGGAUGCUGUGGAGCAAUCCUUGGGGGUUCGAUUCCCCCCGACCGCACCA
Molecule: transfer RNA, 85 nt
Filed under: Rickettsiales bacterium
Lineage: Bacteria; Pseudomonadati; Pseudomonadota; Alphaproteobacteria; Rickettsiales
Description: tRNA-Leu
Rfam family: tRNA
About the family: Transfer RNA (tRNA) molecules are approximately 80 nucleotides in length.
Source: RNAcentral